Molecule: long non-coding RNA, 2352 nt
Organism: Poeciliopsis prolifica (blackstripe livebearer)
Lineage: Eukaryota; Metazoa; Chordata; Actinopteri; Cyprinodontiformes; Poeciliidae
Exons: 4
Source: RefSeq, a predicted model, not a curated record
AUUUAUUGCUAAAUACUAUAAUAACAUUUUGAGUAAAUAUUGCCCUCUCCUAGUUCAUGAGGGUUUUUUUUCUACUACCUACAGUAAAUGUCCUUAACAUAAAUGUUUCCUAAAUGUUUCAGACGAUGCUGCAAUAAAAUCGGAACUUAUAUCAAAGCUUUCAUCUUUAGCAGAAUGUGGGAUGCUUGACGUGUCACAAAUACAUCCUUAGAAGUUCAAAUGAAUUUCGGCUUACAUCAAUAAUUCGGGGGUCGACAUGAAUGAUUUUAUUUGUACAUCUGCAUAAAUAAUGAUCCAGUAAACUUCACACACACCUCACCACCAAUAUGGAUCUCCAAAACAGCUGGACGUGCUAAAUUCCCGCCCUCCACACACACACACAUACGCACACACACCUACACACACACGCACAAACACCCAGAUGCACCAAAGUGAUAAAGCCCAUUUGAUUUAUCAUAAUAUGCUUUAUCUGAAAACUAAGUAUCUUAUCUCCAGAUAAUAGAGAGGAAAGACGGAGCAAUCCGUUCAGUUGGGACGACGGCAGCACCGGGAUAACGGACGGGUCGCAGUGGAGAACGAACGGGAGGAACCGGAGAGAAAACCUGACGAGAAGAAAAGGAUGCGAGGAUGGGAGGAGAUGUGUACAAAGGAUUCAGGGUGAGGAAAUGAAACGGGACAGGAUAACGAACAGCUCAAGAGUGAGAAAAUAUGGCAUUCAUAUCCUAACAGCAAACGGGGAAGCAGUCGAGGGGACAGAGUGGAUUUAAUCCCUUCCCCCCAGGAAGCUGGACUCAAACGGACACAAUCAGGGUGAUGCGACCGAACGAUUCAGUUUUUCAGACCAAACUGAGGGGCUGAAAACGUCCAGAACCGGGCGGCACCAGGAGAGGAGGGAGAGAUGGAGGAAAAGCAGAGUAUGCCAGGUGCCACCCACAGCCUGCCAGUCCCCCCAGCUCCCCAUCCAGCCGCACCAGUCAGACCUACUGCAGCAACCAGCUUUUUAACUCAAGACAGACCUGAGAGUCACAGUGAGAUGAAGUGGAUGAUGAUGAUGAUGAUGAAUAUGUCCCAUUGCAUGUCUAAUCUGAUGAGUCAUCAGAAAUCUCCACAUGACCUGUAGAUUCCCCUCCAUCAAGUGAUCUGCUCCCACGAGGGGAGAAGCUGAAGCGGCAGCCGACACUGAAACGCCCGGCCCAGUCCACCUCAGAGACGGAGAGUUAUCCUCACUACAUCAGCCCAGUCCACCGAGCUGCCCAUUCAUUCUCAAUCAGAAAAGUUCUUCAGGAGCUUCUCCUGGUCAGAGCGUUAGCUGCCCUGAUCGUAUGGCGACCGCGCCGACACUGAGGCGGACGUUCUUCUUCAGACUGGCUGAGUUUUCCAAAGAACUCACAAUGCCAUUCCUGGGUCCAGAUGGAUCGCUCCGACACAGACGGCAGAUUGAAACCAGUCCAGGUUCCUCAGUGGUGCAUCUGUCCAAAUCAUUCCAGCUAGUAUUCCACGAACACCCAAUUCCACUAUCAAAAGGGUUUUUGGCUUUCACGUUUCUUCUUUCAUGUUUUUUGUCUAUGAAUAUGUGCUUCAUAGUCUGUAAAGGUUGGUAAAACCACUCACACCUGGUACAGUUGUUUAACUACGAACUGUGAUGGAUUCCUUGUAUGAACCAACGCACAAUAAACUUCUUCUGCGAGGUAUUCUUGUGUAUCAGUGUGUGUGUGCGUAAUGACUCAGGGGCUGCACCGUGAGGUGAGGUGUGUCAGUAUGGAGGAUGACUGAUUACAGUAGACAGUAAUCCUGCAGAUGGAUUAGCAGGUGGAAUUAGGAGAAGUGGGGGUGUAGCACACUGCCACCUUUGAACUGUAACAAUAUGGAGCAGCAGCGCACAGGGCCUGGCCUCCGUCUGCAUCACCCCCCGGCCACACAUGCACGAAGCGGGGUGACCCACGGCGUCGGAGGCCCCCAACCGGCACGGUACACGGGUUCUUAUGAUGACAUUACCCCAGGUCUCGACUGUCAGAAGGUGACGUGACGAGUCCGCCAAGCGAGUUCCCACCAUCGAGACUCGCAGACAAGAGAAAACGUGUCCAAUGGAGAGAACGGUCCUGAAGUGUGACGUCAGACUCUGUGUUUUAUUGAGAUUAACUGCUUUUUCACUUCCUCAUGUAUUUGUAACUCGGUUCAAUUCAAAAAAUACUUUAUUGAUAAGCCUGAGGAAUCAUCAGCUCAGGCUGAUGUUUUCAGUGAUUCUGAGGAAAAACAUCUGCUCUUAAAGCAACCCCAGAGCAAGGAGCUGCCACCCAGAACAUCCCGAAACAUUGGGACCUUACUCCAGUAGAGACACAACUCUACUUUCAA